GAGCUCUCUUCUGCAGCACAUACGCUAACAUUGGAAAGAUACAGAGAAGAUUAGCGCUGCUCCUAUGCAAGGAGGACACAAACUGGUGAAGCGUUCCAUGUUAAA
Nycticebus coucang (slow loris) is the source of this 105-nucleotide small nuclear RNA. NCBI's taxonomy places the organism in Eukaryota, Metazoa, Chordata, Mammalia, Primates, Lorisidae. The record is from RefSeq and is a predicted model, not a curated record.